This 3938-nucleotide unclassified non-coding RNA is filed under the name Leishmania donovani. Its description in RNAcentral is "gene:LdHU3.35.4340(CDS-product:hypothetical_prote in_conserved)". Lineage: Eukaryota; Euglenozoa; Kinetoplastea; Trypanosomatida; Trypanosomatidae. The record is from RNAcentral.
ACUCCGUAGAAGUUCCGCUUGCCUGUGCCCCAACCUCACAUCACCCGUCCGGCGCUAGUCCGCACCCUCUGCGUGUGCCUCGACGCAGGCGAGCUUCACGAGAGUUCCUGUAGGCGUCGAGCACGCGGCGCCUCGUUUGCCCGCAUUGCCUGCUCUUCGCUCUAGCGUAGCCCAUAGAGGGAGGGUGCGAGGUAGAGCUGCACGGCAGCACCUCCAACGCGCCAUUUCGCAUCUCCGCUGUUUUGCGUUACCCCCAUGGCCUUCAGCAGCAGUAGCAGCGAUGACGAUGCGUGGAUGCCACAGUCAAACCCGCCGGGGCUCACCGCGACUUCUGGGCAAACCGCGAUGCUCGAGGCACGACGCCGCGCACUGCAGCAGCAGCGGGAGGCGCAGCAGCAAGAGCGGCAAUGGCGCCCUCAAGAGGCUGGACGGGGGACACCGGCAGCUGGCCGCUUGGGUGCGAGGCCGCAAGCACCGGCCUCUUCACGAAAAACAGAAAGCUCGCUGCUAGACGUUUUCGGCGGCUCCGAUGAUGAUGUGGCGCAAAGUGCAUCCCCGACCUCUGCGUUUCCAAGCGUGCAUUCACCACCGACAGCGAAGACGUCGUCCACCGCAGCGCCUGCGGCGGUAUCACCACCUCCUCCAUCGCACGAGGUCACGGUGGAACAGUUGCAGCGGCAGAUUGCAGCCAAGCAGAAGCUUCUGCAGUCCACGAGGGAGCGUGAGAUGGCGCUGAUGGAGAAAUGGCGCGCCGCAAAGGCGCAGAAGCAGGCUGAAGUAGAGCAGCUGAACGGAAAGCUGCGCCGCCUGUGUGCCGCUGUCGAGAACGAAACGAGCGCCGCCGAGGCAAAAAUUCGCGAGUCGCAGGACGAGCACGAGGCGGCACUGCGGGCGGCGCGUCAGAGCGUAGAGCAGGCUGUAAAGGCGGAGUACGACCCCAAAAUUGCGGAGGCACAGCAACAGCUGUGCGCCGCAAGAAAGGAGGAAGCGGAUCUUCGCGAGCUGCUAAAGGAGAAGAGCGGCGACGGCGGUGGUGCGGCAGGGACUGCCAAGGAUGUGGUGAAGACGGCUCUCACGGCCGCCGUCUCGGCUGUUCUGCGCCGGCUCGACGACGUGUUCGACUCAGAGGAGGCGGAAGGGCUCAAGAUGGAUGAGUGGAGAUCAGAGCUGCAGUCACUCGUGCAGCGCGAGAUUCAAACUUCGUUCGCCGUCGGCGUGGAGAGCGAAACCCAGGCCGAGCGAAUGGAGUACGCACGCUUCUUUGAUGACAUGCUGGCGUUCUGGCGGUCCGCAGAGGAUCAGGAGAGGGAGCGGCUGCUGAAGAUGGACGAGUCCUUGCUGGCUGACAUGCAGGCCAUGACGCAGCAGGAAUUGAAGCGACUACAGGACGAAGCGCUCGGCAUGGAACGCGUGUACAUUGAGUCGCGUGAGGCCUGGGCAGCGGAGCAUCAGCGGCUUCUCCAACGCGAGUUGGAGGCCACACUGCAGCGUCGGGAGGCUGAACUGCAGGAACAGCGCCGGCAACGGCAUAGCCUCCACAUAGAGCGCCUCCGUGAUGCCGAGGCGCGGCACAAGGACGCCAUGGCCAAGGAAGAGGCGCUGCACCAGAAGCAGAUGGAGCAGCUCCAGGCUUACUUUGCCCGCGAGGAGGAUCUGCGCGCGGAGCAGCAGCGGAUCCAAGCGGCUGCACAGGAGGACGUGACGAAAUCCACGGCGCUCCUGCGCGACAUCAUGGCAACCGCUGAGGAUGCCGCGGCGGCAGUGAAAGCGUAUGAGGCGGCGGUGGACGAGAGCCGGCGGGGCGUCGAGGUAGAGCGUGAAGGUCACUUCAAAGAACAGGCGGAAAUGCUGGAGCGCCUCCAGCAGCUGGCGGCGACGCAGUGCAGCAACACCGAGGCGGAGCGCGCUGCCCUCGAGGACUGCGCCUCGCAGUUGCGUCUCGCCUCUCAAAACCUGGACCGUCACCUGCAAGACGAGAGCGCGUGGUUAGCGCAGCAGGAGACGACGUACAAGCGCAGCAAAGACGAGUGGGAGCGGGAGUACCGCCGUUGGCAACACCUUGUGCAGCAGGAGCGCCAGGCCGCCGAGGAGCGCUUCCACGAAGCCCUGCUGGCGCUCCAGCAAAGCCUUGGUCUCCUUGAGACAGAGGAGCGUGAGUUGGCAGUCGAGACCGCUGCGAUGCACCGCGGCUUUGGCGAUAUGGAAGCUCUAGCGCAGAGAGAGAUCGAGUUACUUCGACGGAGAGCGGCGGACGUGCAGAGCCGAUCUGUCGCCAUAGCGGACGUGCAGGCACAACUUUCCCAGAAGAAAGCGGCUGUGGCGGAGGCGAAGCAGCAGCUCGUCCUUGCACAGCAGCGCCUGGAGGAUGAGCAAGCCGAGCUCCGGCUUGACGAGGAGAGGCUACGCGACAUGAUGGAGGCGGUGCGCGUAGCCCGCUCGCAGACGGCGCUCCGCUACUAUAACAUGGAGCUGCUCCGCGCAGCCGAUGCCCAACGGCGACGACAACCGCCUGAGUCAGUGGCAACGACGGCGAUAGAUUCCGAUCGACGCCCACCGAUCCCUGAUGAGGGGAGAGGCUCUGCACGCUGUCCAGCCUCAGGUGGGGUCGCAAAGGGUAACCGAGCAGCUCUUCGUGAUGCCGCAUCUGCUAAAAACGGAAGGCAGCAUCGCGAUCCCCAUCGACUACCCAAUAAAGUACUUCAGGAGCUCCAAGAACAACUAAGUGCACUGAUGACAGCCACCGGCGGCGGCGUCGGUCGGGAUGUCUUCGUGUCAACGAUGCGUUGGCUGGACCCCGCACUGCCCUGCGCGAUGGCGGCGCAACGGACGCGGCAGACACACCCGAGACGGCGCGAGGCGGCCGAUGACACGUUUGCCACCGAUGUACCAGCGCCGCUUUCCUCCCCUCCGCUCCCCGGCCGCCAGCGGCAAACGCGUAGCAAAGUGCACAUUCGUGCACGGCCGGCAGCCUCACCGCAGAGAGGGCGUCACGCAGACCCGUCGUCGCUGCCGCUCACGUCAGACAACUUGUCUCAGCUGUCCCUGCGCUCCGAUGAUGAGUGGUCACCGAGUGGCAACACAUUUACAAACUUGAUCGGGCUCUCCGACCUCGACACGACGUCGCAGUCGAUACGAUGAAGUCGAGGACGCGCGGGGUGGCGCGGUGUUUGUGAUGCGCCAAAAAGCAGUCGCCAUCGACUUCUGUAGAAAAGUGGGUAAGGGUGCGAGAAACUUUUGGAGGAAAUCCCGCACACCGUCCGCGAGAGCGAGCGCGGCAGAGAAUACAUCUAUCUCCUUAUAUAUCUAUCUAAAGGAGAGAAGGAUACCUUCCUCAGUUGUCUUACUUUUCGUUUUCCGCCUUGGCAAGGUUAUAGGGGGUGCAUACUGACAGGCGAAUCAUUUUAUCCGAGUCCAGCUUCUCCCGCUUCCUCGAGAAGCCAGUCUGCCUGCAGCCUACCCUCGGGCACGACUGCGGAUUCCUGUUGUCGGUGGAUCGGUCUGUUCUGGCGCUUUGCGGAAGCGACGCGCGGCCACGAUCACGUUUGUAGCAGCCCAAGAAGAAUCGUGUCGCCGACUCCACAACGUGCAUGCACGCUAACGAGGGCCGCCUGCGUCUUCUCUAGUCAGGCGCAUCGGUUUCUUGGCGUUGCUCGUAUGCGUGUGUGUGCUCUGUUUUCUUACAGAUCCAUAGAUGCGUGCUUCAGGCACUGCCUUGAUGAUGCACUUCCUCUUCCAUUGCUUCACGGCUCGGCGGCGGAUUGCGGUGAGGCAGACAGCCCACGUCUCCAUGGUUCCAGCCUCACCCCACGCGCGGUGUUACUCGGCAUUGCGUGAUUCUUGCAGCGCAUGUUCGAUCCACGGCUGCUCUCUCGCCCUGAUGACCCGCUUUACAUAUACUUUGUUGUCUUUGCUGCACAUGAACAGGUCUGAAACAUACC